This 947-nucleotide ribosomal RNA is filed under the name uncultured bacterium. RNAcentral describes it as "bacterial SSU rRNA". It matches the Rfam family "Bacterial small subunit ribosomal RNA", at positions 502 to 1448 of the family's 1533-position model. The record is from RNAcentral.
UACGUNCCAGCAGCCGCGGUAAUACGUAGNUCCCGAGCGUUGUCCGGAUUUAUUGGGNGUAAAGGGAGCGCAGGCGGUUUAGUAAGUNUGAAGUUAAAGGCAUUGGCUCAACCAAUGUAUGCUUUGGAAACUGUUAGACUUGAGUGCAGAAGGGGAGAGUGGAAUUCCAUGUGUAGCGGUGAAAUGCGUAGAUAUAUGGAGGAACACCGGUGGCGAAAGCGGCUCUCUGGUCUGUCACUGACGCUGAGGCUNGAAAGCGUGGGUAGCGAACAGGAUUAGAUACCCUGGUAGUCCACGCCGUAAACGCUGAGUGCUAGGUGUUAGGUCCUUUCCGGGACUUAGUGCCGACGCUAACGCAUUAAGCACUCCGCCUGGGGAGUACGACCGCAAGGUUGAAACUCAAAGGAAUUGACGGGGGCCCGCACAAGCGGUGGAGCAUGUGGUUUAAUUCGAAGCAACGCGAAGAACCUUACCAGGUCUUGACAUCCCGAUGCCCGCUCUAGAGAUAGAGUUUUUCUUCGGAACAUCGGAGACAGGUGGUGCAUGGUUGUCGUCAGCUCGUGUCGUGAGAUGUUGGGUUAAGUCCCGCAACGAGCGCAACCCUUAUUGUUAGUUGCCAUCAUUAAGUUGGGCACUCUAGCGAGACUGCCGGUAAUAAACCGGAGGAAGGUGGGGAUGACGUCAAAUCAUCAUGCCCCUUAUGACCUGGGCUACACACGUGCUACAAUGGUUGGUACAACGAGUCGCAAGCCGGUGACGGCAAGCUAAUCUCUGAAAGCCAAUCUCAGUUCGGAUUGUAGGCUGCAACUCGCCUACAUGAAGUCGGAAUCGCUAGUAAUCGCGGAUCAGCACGCCGCGGUGAAUACGUUCCCGGGCCUUGUACACACCGCCCGUCACACCACGAGAGUUUGUAACACCCAAAGUCGGUGAGGUAACCAUUUAUGGGG